This 254-nucleotide ribosomal RNA is filed under the name uncultured bacterium. RNAcentral describes it as "partial 16S ribosomal RNA". It matches the Rfam family "Bacterial small subunit ribosomal RNA", at positions 524 to 776 of the family's 1533-position model. The record is from RNAcentral.
UACGUAGGGGCCAAGCGUUGUCCGGAUUUAUUGGGCGUAAAGAGCUCGUAGGCGGUUCGGCAAGUCAGCUGUGAAAUCUCCACGCUCAACGUGGAGGGGUCAGCUGAUACUGCUGUGACUCGAGUCCGGUAGGGGAGUGUGGAAUUCCCGGUGUAGCGGUGAAAUGCGCAGAUAUCGGGAAGAACACCCGUGGCGAAGGCAGCCCCCUGGGCUGACACUGACGCUCAGGCACGAAAGCGUGGGGAGCAAACAGG